CGCGUAGGUGGUUUGGUAAGCGAGAUGUGAAAGCCCCGGGCUUAACCUGGGAACGGCAUUUCGAACUGUCAGACUAGAGUGUGGUAGAGGGUAGUGGAAUUUCCUGUGUAGCGGUGAAAUGCGUAGAUAUAGGAAGGAACACCAGUGGCGAAGGCGGCUACCUGGACCAACACUGACACUGAGGUGCGAAAGCGUGGGGAGGCAAACA
RNAcentral lists this ribosomal RNA (208 nucleotides) under uncultured bacterium. RNAcentral's name for it is "partial 16S ribosomal RNA". It matches the Rfam family "Bacterial small subunit ribosomal RNA", at positions 568 to 774 of the family's 1533-position model. The record is from RNAcentral.